GACGAACGCUGGCGGCGUGCCUAAUACAUGCAAGUAGAACGCACAGUUUAUACCGUAGCUUGCUACACCAUAGACUGUGAGUUGCGAACGGGUGAGUAACGCGUAGGUAACCUGCCUGGUAGCGGGGGAUAACUAUUGGAAACGAUAGCUAAUACCGCAUAAUAUUAAUUAUUGCAUGAUAAUUAAUUGAAAGGUGCAAUUGCACCACUACCAGAUGGACCUGCGUUGUAUUAGCUAGUAGGUGAGGUAACGGCUCACCUAGGCGACGAUACAUAGCCGACCUGAGAGGGUGAUCGGCCACACUGGGACUGAGACACGGCCCAGACUCCUACGGGAGGCAGCAGUAGGGAAUCUUCGGCAAUGGACGAAAGUCUGACCGAGCAACGCCGCGUGAGUGAAGAAGGUUUUCGGAUCGUAAAGCUCUGUUGUAAGAGAAGAACGGGUGUGAGAGUUGAAAGUUCACACUGUGACGGUAUCUUACCAGAAAGGGACGGCUAACUACGUG
This 505-nucleotide ribosomal RNA is filed under the name uncultured bacterium. RNAcentral describes it as "partial 16S ribosomal RNA". It matches the Rfam family "Bacterial small subunit ribosomal RNA", at positions 28 to 507 of the family's 1533-position model. The record is from RNAcentral.